CCCGGCGACCGGCGCACGGGUGAGUAACGCGUAUGCAACCUGCCCGUUUCAGCGGGAUAACCCGGAGAAAUCCGGCCUAAUACCGCAUGUGGCCGAGGGGAGGCAUCUUCUUUCGGCCAAAAGGGAGGCGACUCCGGAGACGGAUGGGCAUGCGUGACAUUAGCUUGUUGGCGGGGUAACGGCCCACCAAGGCGACGAUGUCUAGGGGUUCUGAGAGGAAGGUCCCCCACACUGGUACUGAGACACGGACCAGACUCCUACGGAAGGCAGCAG
RNAcentral lists this ribosomal RNA (273 nucleotides) under uncultured bacterium. Its description in RNAcentral is "partial 16S ribosomal RNA". It matches the Rfam family "Bacterial small subunit ribosomal RNA", at positions 87 to 354 of the family's 1533-position model. The record is from RNAcentral.